GAUUAAGUUAUUAAGGGCGCACGGUGGAUGCCUUGGCACUAGAAGCCGACGAAGGACGUUACUAACGACGAUAUGCUUUGGGGAGCUGUAAGUAAGCUUUGAUCCAGAGAUUUCCGAAUGGGGAAACCCAGCACGAGUUAUGUCGUGUUAUCUGCAUGUGAAUACAUAGCAUGCAAGAAGGCAGACCCGGAGAACUGAAACAUCUUAGUACCCGGAGGAAGAGAAAGAAAAAUCGAUUCCCUGAGUAGCGGCGAGCGAAACGGGAAGAGCCCAAACCAAUAAGCUUGCUUAUUGGGGUUGUAGGACACUCUG
RNAcentral lists this ribosomal RNA (312 nucleotides) under Staphylococcus pseudintermedius. RNAcentral's name for it is "partial 23S ribosomal RNA". It matches the Rfam family "Bacterial large subunit ribosomal RNA", at positions 1 to 312 of the family's 2925-position model. The record is from RNAcentral. Lineage: Bacteria; Bacillati; Bacillota; Bacilli; Caryophanales; Staphylococcaceae.